RNAcentral lists this non-coding RNA (184 nucleotides) under Lysobacter defluvii IMMIB APB-9 = DSM 18482. RNAcentral describes it as "6S / SsrS RNA". It matches the Rfam family "6S / SsrS RNA". From Rfam's summary of the family: E. coli 6S RNA was the first non coding RNA to be sequenced, but its function was unknown until recently. It consists of 184 nucleotides that fold into an extended hairpin structure with a large single-stranded internal bulge. The record is from Rfam by way of RNAcentral. Lineage: Bacteria; Pseudomonadati; Pseudomonadota; Gammaproteobacteria; Lysobacterales; Lysobacteraceae.
AGUCCUCUGCUGUGGACGACGGCGUACGCAACAUUCGCCUUGUCCCUUAACAGCGACCUCGGGGAUGCAGUGCAGGCCGGGAGCGCAAGUCCGCCACGUGCGGAAAGCCCGAAAGCCCCCACGCAUUCCCACCUGAACCUCGGGUUCAAGGUCGUUCGUACGCAUCGCCAUCGGCGGAGGACCU